UUUAAAUACUUUUUAAAGUAUCAAUUGGAGGGCAAGUCUGGUGCCAGCAGCCGCGGUAAUUCCAGCUCCAAUAGCGUAUAUUAAAAUUGUUGCAGUUAAAAAGCUCGUAGUUGAAUUUUUGCUAAAAAUAACCGGUCUGCUUUUAUUAAUAAAAGUGGUAUCUUGGUGUGUUUUUAGCAAUAAUGUCCUUUGAAAUGUUUUUUACUUUAUUGUAAAAAGCAGUUUUUUGGAUUUUUACUUUGAGAAAAUUAGAGUGUUUCAAGCAGGCUAACGUUUUGAAUACUGCAGCAUGGAAUAAUAAAAUAGGAUUUUAGUUCUACGUUAUUGGUUUUAAGAACUAAAUUAAUGAUUGAUAGGAGCAGUUGGGGGCAUUUGUAUUUAACUGUCAGAGGUGAAAUUCUUAGAUUUGUUAAAGACACACUACUGCGAAAGCAUUUGCCAAAGAUGUUUUCAUUAAUC
Molecule: ribosomal RNA, 459 nt
Filed under: Hepatozoon sp. ex Sciurus carolinensis KEA-2011
Lineage: Eukaryota; Apicomplexa; Hepatozoidae
Description: partial 18S ribosomal RNA
Rfam family: Eukaryotic small subunit ribosomal RNA
Source: RNAcentral